CCUACGGGGGGCAGCAGUGGGGAAUAUUGCACAAUGGGGGAAACCCUGAUGCAGCCAUGCCGCGUGUGUGAAGAAGGCCUUCGGGUUGUAAAGCACUUUCAGUUGUGAGGAAAGGUUGGUAGUUAAUACCUGCCAGCUGUGACGUUAACAACAGAAGAAGCACCGGCUAACUCCGUGCCAGCAGCCGCGGUAAUACGGAGGGUGCGAGCGUUAAUCGGAAUUACUGGGCGUAAAGCGCACGCAGGCGGCUUGUUAAGCUAGAGGUGAAAGCCCCGCGCUCAACGUGGGAACUGCCUUUAGAACUGGCAGGCUAGAGUCUUGGAGAGGGGAGUGGAAUUCCAGGUGUAGCGGUGAAAUGCGUAGAUAUCUGGAGGAACAUCAGUGGCGAAGGCGGCUCCCUGGCCAAAGACUGACGCUCAUGUGCGAAAGUGUGGGUAGCGAACAGGAUUAGAUACCCCUGUAGUC
RNAcentral lists this ribosomal RNA (465 nucleotides) under uncultured Alteromonas sp. Its description in RNAcentral is "bacterial SSU rRNA". It matches the Rfam family "Bacterial small subunit ribosomal RNA", at positions 338 to 795 of the family's 1533-position model. Lineage: Bacteria; Pseudomonadati; Pseudomonadota; Gammaproteobacteria; Alteromonadales; Alteromonadaceae. The record is from RNAcentral.